UGUCACUGAGGGGUCUUUUCAUUGAUUUUGGUAAGUUGCCUGGAUCAUAAGAUCAGCAACUUAAGUGGGAGGUGUUGUGUUUUCUGUGGAGGUCUACCAUUUGUGUAGUCUUGUUAUUUCUUAUUUACUUAUUUAAGUUAUUGAUAAACGUCUGAGGCUCGGCAGCCCAAUGGUGUAGUGCCUCUUUAAGAGAACAGUGUGCUGUGGGUCCAUGUGACCGGUGUUCGCCCAAUAAAAAGGUGGCGCAAGAGUUGUAUUAUUGGUACAUAACUUUGACCCGGUGUGCAGCCACUUGAUUUAUUACCUGCUUUCCCUUUGUUGAAAAAUAAACAAACAAAAGUGGAAUACCGAGUAAUAUUCUUUGUACACCGGGUUACCCCUUCCGUGGGGAGAAAACGGAACAAGGAUGCUUACAACGGUUUUGACCAACGGCCUGGCCUGCAAGUUCAAUUGGGCAGGAAAAACCUGCACACAAAGGGAUGCCAAGCAGCCCUUCAAAGACACAGCCCUGCAAGACUGCAUGUUUGUUGCUUCUCGGCAGUGUGACCGCAAACUCACACAGCAGGCCUUCAGCGACAUUGUGAAAAAUUGGCUACGUUACGCCCCUUGGCGUGCAGGAGGCAUCAAGAAAAAUGUCCUCUUCAUGUGGGCUAUGGCCCUUGUUGGUCUGUGAUUACACAUGUGAUUACACUAAUUCGCCUUUUCUUGUUGGUAUCUUUUGUGGUGAAGGCAAGCCAAAGAUUCUUUCAGUACCUUCAACAAUUUGAUUAUUUAAUUU
This is a long non-coding RNA of Gadus macrocephalus (Pacific cod), 778 nucleotides long. RefSeq lists it as uncharacterized. The record is from RefSeq and is a predicted model, not a curated record. The transcript is spliced from 4 exons. NCBI's taxonomy places the organism in Eukaryota, Metazoa, Chordata, Actinopteri, Gadiformes, Gadidae.